UAGGGAAUCUUCCACAAUGGGCGUAAGCCUGAUGGAGCAACGCCGCGUGUGUGAUGAAGGGUUUCGGCUCGUAAAACACUGUUGUAAGAGAAGAAUGACAUUGAGAGUAACUGUUCAAUGUGUGACGGUAUCUUACCAGAAAGGAACGGCUAAAUACGUGCCAG
RNAcentral lists this ribosomal RNA (164 nucleotides) under uncultured bacterium. RNAcentral describes it as "partial 16S rRNA". It matches the Rfam family "Bacterial small subunit ribosomal RNA", at positions 355 to 511 of the family's 1533-position model. The record is from RNAcentral.